Molecule: long non-coding RNA, 702 nt
Organism: Oncorhynchus tshawytscha (Chinook salmon)
Lineage: Eukaryota; Metazoa; Chordata; Actinopteri; Salmoniformes; Salmonidae
Source: Ensembl
GUGGAGACAGAGGGAGAGAGAGAUGGAGAGAUGAAGGAGAGAGGUGGAGACAGAAAAAGAGAGGGAUGAAGAGAGAAGUGGAGAGAGAGGGAGAGAGGUGGAGACAGAGGGAGAGAGGGAUGGAGAGAUGAAGAGAGAGGUGGAGACAGAGGGAGAGAGGGAUGGAGUGAUGAUGAGAGAGGUGGAGACAGAGGGAGAGAGGGAUGAAGAGAUGAAGGAGAGAGGUGGAGACAGAGGGAGAGAGGGAUGGAGUGAUGAUGAGAGAGGUGGAGACAGAGGGAGAGAGGGAUGAAGAGAUGAAGGAGAGAGGUGGAGACAGAGGGAGAGAGGGAUGGAGUGAUGAUGAGAGAGGUGGAGACAGAGGGUGAGGGGGAUGGAGAGAUGAAGAGAGAGAGGGGUGGAGAGAUGAAGAGAGAGGUGGAGACAGAGGGAGAGGGGGAUGGAGAGAUGAAGAGAGAGAGGGGUGGAGACAGAGGGAGAGAGGGAUGGAGAGAUGAAGAGAGAGGUGGAGACAGAGGGAGAGAGGGAUGGAGAGAUGAAGGAGAGAGGUGGAGACAGAGGGAGAGGGGGAUGGAGAGAUGAAGAGAGAGAGGGGUGGAGAGAUGAAGGAGAGAGGGAUGAAGAGAUGAAGAGAGAGAGGGGUGGAGAGAUGAAGGAGAGAGGGAUGAAGAGAUGAAGAAAGAGAGGGGUGGAGAGAUGAAG